RNAcentral lists this long non-coding RNA (210 nucleotides) under Gallus gallus (chicken). The record is from RNAcentral. Lineage: Eukaryota; Metazoa; Chordata; Aves; Galliformes; Phasianidae.
UCGCCACGUUCCUUCUCCUUCUUGCCUGGCUUGGAGUGCAGCUUGUGCCACCGCUCCUCGGCCGCCCGGCCCUGCAGCCCCGCAGCCCGCAGCGGUACCCGGGCCAUGCCCAGGAAGCGGUCCAUGCCCACCAGGGCGCGGUGCAUGACGGUGAGCAGCAGCGCGGCCUCAGCCCCGGGCUCGGUGGGCGGCAGCUCGAAGGCGCACUCC